UGGGAUAGCUCAGUCGGUAGAGCGACUGAUUCGUAAUCAGUAGGUCGAGGGUUCAAGUCCCUUUCUCA
Molecule: transfer RNA, 68 nt
Filed under: bovine gut metagenome
Rfam family: tRNA
About the family: Transfer RNA (tRNA) molecules are approximately 80 nucleotides in length.
Source: RNAcentral